CAUUCUUCCCCUCUAAUCAGGGCCUGAUUUAGACCUGGGACACCAGUCAUUGUUCCCCUCUAAUCAGGGCCUGAUUUAGACCUGGAACACCAGGCGGGUACCAUUAAUGACCAGGUAGAGGAGAAAAACAGCAUUAGUCCAGACCUGGUAGGUAUCCCAGGAAUCCCCAGGGUCUAUAAUCAUCCACUCCCAUCAGAACCAUUGAAAACAUAUAAGAACCAAUGAAGGAGAUGUGGUCUGGUCAUGGGUUGAAGUGCUCACCUUCAGCUUUACACUCAACAUCACCCCCGCCCACCACCACCUUCUAUGACAUCACUGCAUCACCCUGACAACGACCCCCCCCCCCCCUCACCUUCUAUGACAUCACUGCAUCACCCUGACAAUGGACCCCCCCCACCUUCUAUGACAUCACUUCAUCACCUUGACAACGGACCCCCCAUCACCUUCUAUGACAUCACUGCAUCACCCUGACAACUGACCCCCCCACCCUCUCCUCCCUGUUGCCUGGGCAACAAGAACAUUGAAGGUACACUGAAGUAUUUCCGAAGAGGUUUUAUGUUUCUGUUGUUAGUUUUCUGAAAUAGAAAGAUAACAUUUUACUUUGUUUUUUUCAAACUUUAGUUUAAAACGUUUAAAAACAACACAAAUAUAACAAAAUAAAAACUCAAAUGAGAAAAAAAUACUACAGAAAAAACUACUGAAGACAUUUUAUUUUGAAUUUAUUAUUAAAAGAGUUUGUAUUUUAAGUUGUUUUCAUUUAUCCAUUCAUGCUGUUAACUUCAUAGAUGAGUUUGCUUGUUGUUGGGGGUAUCUAUUAGUUUUCAGAUACUGUAAUACUGGGUAUCAUUUAAAAAACGUGUACUUUUUAUGGGUGUUUUUAGAUAUGUUAUACUUCUGAUCUGGAACCUGGGCCUGUCACUUCACUGUCUACUCCAGCAGACUAAGACUGAAUUAUUUUAUCAUGUUGUUGUUGUUGUUGUUGUUCUGUACUUUAUUCUAAUUGUUUGUAUUUGCUUGAUUCUCACAUGGUGAACAAAUAUGGACAAAGGCGUUUAUUAUUUUGUAUUGCUCUGCCCUAACACUCUCUAGUGCUAGCAUAUGCUACGUACGCUAAGCUAACUGCUAAACUAGCAUAUGCUACGUAGGCUAAGCUAACAUGAAACAUAUUACUAGCAUUUGCUAAGCUAACUAAAGUACUGUUCGCAUACGCUAAGCUAACCGAAACGCUCUACUAGCAUAUGCUAAGCUUACCCGAAACAUCCUGUUAGCUUUAUGCUAAGCUUACCGAAACACCCUGUUAGCUUUAUGCUAAGCUAGCAGCAUCACACUCCGCUGAGCUUCAACCCACUGUAAAGCCUUUCUACGAGAGAUCUGUGUCUCUCUGGGUUCGACUAUUGUGCCUUUCCACUAGCCGGUCUUAUGAUCUCUGAGCUCAACUGCAGUGCCUGUUGAGUGGAAAUGUGUUUUACUCACUACACUACACUAGCAUUUCACAGAAUUACUACAUGCCCAAUAGACUGCUUCAUUCUCAGCGGUAGCUGGUCGUUGGAACAGAGACUAUGGUCAGGAUUUAAUCCCAAACCGCUUGAUGUUUAGAGGUCCAAUUAGGCAGCAGCAUCGUCGAUCAGAUUGAAUCGCUGCCGAUACCUCUCUGGAUCCUGGAUCUCUUUGGGUUUCAUACCAACCCGAACACAAACCUAGUAUUCUCUCUCUCUCUCUCUCGUUGAUUUCUAAAAGGCAACAGAUUCCCUGUGAAAUAUAUGAAUACGUUCAGCUGUCAGAAGGCACUGAGACCACGCCCACACUGACAUCUAAUUAGCAUAAUACACAAACCCUCGUGGGCUGUGUCUCAACCCACCACGCCCACAUCUAAUUAGCAUAAUACACAAACCCUCUUGGGCUGUGUCUCAAUCCCCCAAGCCUGCCUGUCAGCCUUCCUCACCUGAGGUGGAAGGUGACCUUCCUCAUCUGAGGUGGAAGGUGACCUUCCUCAUCUGAGGUGGAAGGUGACCUUCCUCACCUGAGGUGGAAUCGGCCUUCCUCAUCUGAGGUGGAAGGUGACCUUCCUCAUCUGAGGGUGAAGGUGACCUUCCUCACCUGAGGUGGAAUCGACCUUCCUCAUCUGAAGUGGAAUCGGCCUUCCUCAUCUGAGGUGGAAUCGACCUUCCUCACCUGAGGUGGAAUCGACCUUCCUCAUCUGAGGUGGAAGGUGACCUUCCUCAUCUGAGGUGGAAUCGACCUUCCUCAUCUGAGGUGGAAUCGACCUUCCUCAUCUGAGGUGGAAGGUGACCUUCCUCAUCUGAGGUGGAAGGUGACCUUCAUCAUCUGAGGGGAAGGUGACCUUCCUCACCUUCCUCAUCUGAGGUGGAAUCGACCUUCCUCAUCUGAAGUGGAAUCGGCCUUCCUCAUCUGAGGUGGAAUCGACCUUCCUCACCUGAGGUGGAAUCGACCUUCCUCAUCUGAGGUGGAAUCGACCUUCCUCAUCUGAGGUGGAAGGUGACCUUCCUCAUCUGAGGUGGAAUCGACCUUCCUCAUCUGAGGUGGAAUCGACCUUCCUCAUCUGAGGUGGAAGGUGACCUUCCUCAUCUGAGGGGGAAGGUGACCUUCCUCACCUGAGGUGGAAUCGGCCUUCCUCAUCUGAGGUGGAAUCGACCAUCCUCAUCUGAGGUGGAAGGUGACCUUCCUCACCUUCCUCAUCUGAGGUGGAAUCGACCUUCCUCAUCUGAGGGGGAAGUUGACCUUCCUCAUCUGAGGUGGAAGGUGACCUUCCUCAUCUGAGGUGGAAGGUGACCUUCCUCAUCUGAGGUGGAAUCGACCUUCCUCAUCUGAGGGGGAAUCGACCUUCCUCAUCUGAGGGGGGAAGUUGACCUUCCUCAUCUGAGGUGGAAGGUGACCUUCCUCAUCUGAGGGGGGAAGUUGACCUUCCGCAUCUGAGGGGGAAGGUGACCUUCAUCAUCUGAGGUGGAAGGUGACAGAGCUACAGCGGUGUUUGUCAAGAGAUCGUGGUGAAACAUCCUUGAAAAAUUUGGUUUUCUCACAAAUACUUCUGUAGCGUCCUAACGAGUCAGAUUGGACCAUCUUAAAACAAUUCCAUAUGUAACCAGGAUGUACGAUUUAGUUUAGUAGGAACUCAGUGCCCUGGGGCCCUUAGACCCCUUUUUCUUUUAACAGCUUUGUGAUGGGGAAUAUAAUUAUAUUGAAACUAACCUGCCAACUGGAACUAAGCCUUAGAGGCACAGACACAGGUUCUCUCUACCCCCUCACAGUUCCCCUGUAGCUAUAACUCAGGCUGACUUGACCUGCUAGUAACUAACACACAUCAGCCUCCACAUCCAAUCUGAAAACAACUGGAACUAAGCCUUAGAGGCACAGACACAGGUUCUCUCUACCCCCUCACAGUUCCCCUGUAGCUAUAACUCAGGCUGACUUGACCUGCUAGUAACUAACACACAUCAGCCUCCACAUCCAAUCUGAAAACAAC
Molecule: long non-coding RNA, 3481 nt
Organism: Oncorhynchus gorbuscha (pink salmon)
Lineage: Eukaryota; Metazoa; Chordata; Actinopteri; Salmoniformes; Salmonidae
Exons: 3
Source: RefSeq, a predicted model, not a curated record